Peromyscus californicus insignis is the source of this 583-nucleotide long non-coding RNA. RefSeq lists it as uncharacterized. The transcript is spliced from 3 exons. Lineage: Eukaryota; Metazoa; Chordata; Mammalia; Rodentia; Cricetidae. The record is from RefSeq and is a predicted model, not a curated record.
AGCGCCUCUCAUUUUACUUUCUAAGUGAUGCUGACCGAGUCUGCGCUGGUGCUGCGUGCUAAACCUAUAGCCAGUGGCGGGAGAUCCACGUCCCUAUCGUGCGCUCCUUCCUGCCCCAUGGGAACUAGCUCGAGCCGGCCACGGAAGACCAGGGCACAGACACUCUGUCGCCGCGAGCUCAGGGUCUCUUGGCCAGGACAGGGCGGCCGCUGCACCACGCUUUAGGGAGACGCAGAGAUCUGCGGAUGCGAAUGCAGAGAGACCACGUUUCUUGGAGCUGAGCAGAUUGUGGAAGGCAUUGUCAAGACAUUUCUUGGAACUACAGCGCAUUGGAGGAGGCAGAGAAUAAGCUGAUAAUGAAGGUGUUUCUACUGUUGCUAUUACAAAAUACCAGAGGGUGUCAUGUAUCCCAAGCUGGUCUCCAACCGGCUAUAGAACUGAGGAUGACCUUGAACUUCUGAUCUCCUUGCCUUUACCUCUUAAGUGCUGGAAUUUUGGGUAUGCAGUGCUGGGGAUUGAACCCAGGGCUUAAUGUGUACUAGGUAAGCAUUCCAUUAAGUGAGCCACAUCCCAGCCUCCUCUC